UACGUAGGGGGCGAGCGUUGUCCGGAAUCAUUGGGCGUAAAGCGCGUGUAGGCGGUUCGGUAAGUCUGCUGUGAAAGUCCAGGGCUCAACCCUGGGAUGCCGGUGGAUACUGCCGAACUAGAGUGCGGAAGAGGCGAGUGGAAUUCCCGGUGUAGCGGUGAAAUGCGCAGAUAUCAGGAGGAACACCAAUGGCGAAGGCAGCUCGCUGGGACGUGACUGACGCUGAGACGCGAAAGCGUGGGGAGCAAACAGG
Molecule: ribosomal RNA, 253 nt
Filed under: uncultured bacterium
Lineage: Bacteria
Description: partial 16S ribosomal RNA
Rfam family: Bacterial small subunit ribosomal RNA
Source: RNAcentral